RNAcentral lists this transfer RNA (75 nucleotides) under Caudoviricetes sp. Its description in RNAcentral is "tRNA-Thr". It matches the Rfam family "tRNA". From Rfam's summary of the family: Transfer RNA (tRNA) molecules are approximately 80 nucleotides in length. Their secondary structure includes four short double-helical elements and three loops (D, anti-codon, and T loops). The record is from RNAcentral. Lineage: Duplodnaviria; Heunggongvirae; Uroviricota; Caudoviricetes.
GCUGAAGUAACUCAAAGGUAGAGUGGCGCACUCGUAAAGCGCAGGUUCCCAGUUCAAGUCUGGGCUUCAGCUCCA